CCACGCCGUAAACGAUGGGUGCUAGGUGUGGGCGGUGUCGACUCCGUCCGUGCCGAAGCUAACGCAUUAAGCACCCCGCCUGGGGAGUACGGCCGCAAGGCUAAAACUCAAAGGAAUUGACGGGGACCCGCACAAGCAGCGGAGCAUGUUGUUUAAUUCGAUGCGACGCGAAGAACCUUACCAGGGCUUGACAUGCACAGGAAUGUCGUGGAAACACGGCAGCCCUUCGGGGCCUGUGCACAGGUGGUGCAUGGCUGU
Molecule: ribosomal RNA, 258 nt
Filed under: uncultured bacterium
Lineage: Bacteria
Description: partial 16S ribosomal RNA
Rfam family: Bacterial small subunit ribosomal RNA
Source: RNAcentral